This 433-nucleotide ribosomal RNA is filed under the name uncultured bacterium. Its description in RNAcentral is "partial 16S ribosomal RNA". It matches the Rfam family "Bacterial small subunit ribosomal RNA", at positions 29 to 507 of the family's 1533-position model. The record is from RNAcentral.
AGCGAACGCUGGCGGCAGGCCUAACACAUGCAAGUCGAACGAACUCUUCGGAGUUAGUGGCGGACGGGUGAGCAACACGUGGGAACGUGCCUUUAGGUUCGGAAUAACUCAGGGAAACUUGUGCUAAUACCGAAUGUGCCCUUCGGGGGAAAGAUUUAUCGCCUUUAGAGCGGCCCGCGUCUGAUUAGCUAGUUGGUGAGGUAAAGGCUCACCAAGGCGACGAUCAGUAGCUGGUCUGAGAGGAUGAUCAGCCACAUUGGGACUGAGACACGGCCCAAACUCCUACGGGAGGCAGCAGUGGGGAAUCUUGCGCAAUGGGCGAAAGCCUGACGCAGCCAUGCCGCGUGAAUGAUGAAGGUCUUAGGAUUGUAAAAUUCUUUCACCGGGGACGAUAAUGACGGUACCCGGAGAAGAAGCCCCGGCUAACUUCGUG